This 73-nucleotide transfer RNA is filed under the name Sus scrofa (pig). It matches the Rfam family "tRNA". Rfam says of the family: Transfer RNA (tRNA) molecules are approximately 80 nucleotides in length. Their secondary structure includes four short double-helical elements and three loops (D, anti-codon, and T loops). Further hydrogen bonds mediate the characteristic L-shaped molecular structure. tRNAs have two regions of fundamental functional importance: the anti-codon, which is responsible for specific mRNA codon recognition, and the 3' end, to which the tRNAs corresponding amino acid is attached (by aminoacyl-tRNA synthetases). tRNAs cope with the degeneracy of the genetic code in two manners: having more than one tRNA (with a specific anti-codon) for a particular amino acid; and 'wobble' base-pairing, i.e. permitting non-standard base-pairing at the 3rd anti-codon position. The record is from Rfam by way of RNAcentral. Lineage: Eukaryota; Metazoa; Chordata; Mammalia; Artiodactyla; Suidae.
UUCCUGGUUGUCUAGUGGUUAAAGUCUCAGCACUGUCACUGCUGUGGCUCAGGUUCAAGCCCUGGCCUGAGAA